AGUGAACGCUGGCGGUAGGCCUAACACAUGCAAGUCGAACGGCAGCACAGUAAGAGCUUGCUCUUACGGGUGGCGAGUGGCGGACGGGUGAGGAAUACAUCGGAAUCUACUUUUUCGUGGGGGAUAACGUAGGGAAACUUACGCUAAUACCGCAUACGACCUACGGGUGAAAGCAGGGGAUCUUCGGACCUUGCGCGAUUGAAUGAGCCGAUGCCGGAUUAGCUAGUUGGCGGGGUAAAGGCCCACCAAGGCGACGAUCCGUAGCUGGUCUGAGAGGAUGAUCAGCCACACUGGAACUGAGACACGGUCCAGACUCCUACGGGAGGCAGCAGUGGGGAAUAUUGGGCAAUGGGCGCAAGCCUGAUCCAGCCAUACCGCGUGGGUGAAGAAGGCCUUCGGGUUGUAAAGCCCUUUUGUUGGGAAAGAAAAGCAGCAGGUUAAUACCCCGCUGUUCUGACGGUACCCAAAGAAUAAGCACCGGCUAACUUCGUG
RNAcentral lists this ribosomal RNA (492 nucleotides) under uncultured bacterium. Its description in RNAcentral is "partial 16S ribosomal RNA". It matches the Rfam family "Bacterial small subunit ribosomal RNA", at positions 29 to 507 of the family's 1533-position model. The record is from RNAcentral.